Molecule: ribosomal RNA, 499 nt
Filed under: uncultured Glomeromycotina
Lineage: Eukaryota; Fungi; Glomeromycota
Description: partial small subunit ribosomal RNA
Rfam family: Eukaryotic small subunit ribosomal RNA
Source: RNAcentral
CCAAUAGCGUAUAUUAAAGUUGCUGCAGUUAAAAAGCUCGUAGUUGAAUUUCGGGACCAAUGUGUCGGUCGUGCUUCGGUACGUACUGGCAUCGUUGGUUUCUCCUUUCUGAAGAACCAUGAUGUCAUUUAUUUGGUGUUGUGGGGAAUCAGGACUGUUACUUUGAAAAAAUUAGAGUGUUUAAAGCAGGCUCACGCUUGAAUACAUUAGCAUGGAAUAAUGAAAUAGGACGUUUGAUUCUAUUUUGUUGGUUUCUAGGAUCGACGUAAUGAUUAAUAGGGAUAGUUGGGGGCAUUAGUAUUCAAUUGUCAGAGGUGAAAUUCUUGGAUUUAUUGAAGACUAACUACUGCGAAAGCAUUUGCCAAGGAUGUUUUCAUUAAUCAAGAACGAAAGUUAGGGGAUCGAAGACGAUCAGAUACCGUCGUAGUCUUAACCAUAAACUAUGCCGACUAGGGAUCGGAUGAUGUUAAUUUUUUAAUGACUCAUUCGGCGCCUUACG